CCAUAUCAAUCCAUACGAUAUUUUUGUUCUGACAACGGGAUGCAGAAUGGAUCCGAAAAAGAAACUUUCAUUUCCAGUUUCCUAUUUUUUUUAUUUAAUAUUGUAAUUGUAUUGAAUUUCAAUUUAAUGAAAAAAAUAGAAAAUUCUCUCUUUUUCUAACAGAUAAAAAGAAAUAGAAAAAUAUUCGAAGUAUCUUUCUUUCUUCGACCCGUGGAAAGAUAUACUUUUGAGUUUUAGAUUCG
Molecule: long non-coding RNA, 242 nt
Filed under: Actinidia chinensis (golden kiwifruit)
Lineage: Eukaryota; Viridiplantae; Streptophyta; Magnoliopsida; Ericales; Actinidiaceae
Description: long non-coding RNA (ACHI_LNC004476)
Source: RNAcentral